UGGAGAGUAGAGACGACCGAUGGGCAGUUGAGUAGAGUUGACCAGCGAACCCAAGUAUAUGCUAAAUAAGACUAAAUAAGUGGGGUUAUUUAGCCUAUAAGUAGGUUUGAAGGUCGACUACUCUACCGAGUAAACACAAGUAAGGAGUAAUUCGGUGGUGUUCAGUUCGUAUGGCUGGAGGUUUAGAAAUAGGAUUUGCAUA
Molecule: unclassified non-coding RNA, 202 nt
Filed under: Hevea brasiliensis (rubber tree)
Lineage: Eukaryota; Viridiplantae; Streptophyta; Magnoliopsida; Malpighiales; Euphorbiaceae
Source: RNAcentral